CAGGAAGUAGUUUAAUAAGAAUAUUAAUUUUGGAGAUUAAUGGUAGAACGAGGUUUUCUUUCUGA
Molecule: transfer RNA, 65 nt
Filed under: Pseudorhaetus sinicus
Lineage: Eukaryota; Metazoa; Arthropoda; Insecta; Coleoptera; Lucanidae
Description: tRNA-Pro
Source: RNAcentral